ACGAAGGGGGCGAGCGUUGUUCGGAUUUACUGGGCGUAAAGGGCGCGCAGGCGGCGCGACAAGCCAGGCGUGAAAGCCCCGGGCUUAACCUGGGAAUGGCGUCUGGGACUGUCGGGCUAGAGAUCGGGAGAGGAGCGUGGAAUUCCCAGUGUAGUGGUGAAAUGCGUAGAUAUCGGGAGGAACACCAGUGGCGAAGGCGGCUUCCUGGCCUGUUCUUGACGCUGAGGCGCGAAAGCUAGGGUAGCAAACG
Molecule: ribosomal RNA, 250 nt
Filed under: uncultured bacterium
Lineage: Bacteria
Description: partial 16S ribosomal RNA
Rfam family: Bacterial small subunit ribosomal RNA
Source: RNAcentral